CAUGCCGCGUGUGUGAAGAAGGCCUUCGGGUUGUAAAGCACUUUCAGCGAGGAGGAAAGGUUAGUAGUUAAUAACUGCUAGCUGUGACGUUACUCGCAGAAGAAGCACCGGCUAACUUCGUGCCAGCAGCCGCGGUAAUACGAGGGGUGCAAGCGUUAAUCGGAAUUACUGGGCGUAAAGCGUGCGUAGGUGGUUUGUUAAGCAAGAUGUGAAAGCCCCGGGCUCAACCUGGGAACUGCAUUUUGAACUGGCAAACUAAGUAUUGUAAGGGUAGUGGAAUUUCCAGUGUACGGUGAAAUGCGUAAGAUUGGAAGGAACAUCAGUGGCGAAGGCGGCUACCUGGACAAAUACUGACACUGAGGCACGAAAGCGUGGGGAGCAAACAGGAUUAGAUACCCUGGUAGUCCACGCCGUAAACGAUGUCAACUAGCCGUCUGUCGACCUUGAGUCGUGGGUGGCGCAGCUAACGCACUAAUGUUGACCGCCUGGGGAGUACGGCCGCAAGGUUAAAACUCAAAUGAAUUGACGGGGGCCCGCACAAGCGGUGGAGCAUGU
RNAcentral lists this ribosomal RNA (555 nucleotides) under Colwellia sp. UST050418-348. RNAcentral's name for it is "bacterial SSU rRNA". It matches the Rfam family "Bacterial small subunit ribosomal RNA", at positions 393 to 942 of the family's 1533-position model. Lineage: Bacteria; Pseudomonadati; Pseudomonadota; Gammaproteobacteria; Alteromonadales; Colwelliaceae. The record is from RNAcentral.